ACUCACUUCGUCUCAUCACACAGGCAUUUUAUCAACUCACAUCAUCACAAGAAGGGUAAGUAUAGUAUGAUAAAUUAUGUUGAGAGAGACCACAUUCACCUAACUUUUAUUACAGUAUAUUGUUGUAACUGUUCUAUUUUAUUAUUAGUUAUUGUUGUUAAUCUUUUACUGUGCCUGAUCUAUAACUUAAACUUUAUUAUAAGUAUGAAUGUGUGGAAAAAAAUAGGGUAUAUAGGGUUUGGUACUAUCCAUGGUUUCAGGCAUCCACUGGGGGACUUUGAACAUAUCCACUAUGGAUAAGGAUGGACAAGGAGAGAGUACUGUAUUUUAGGCUCUGUGGGCCACAAAAUUUCUGCCACAGCUAUUUAAGUGUGCAGUUGCAACACAAAAGCAACUGUAGAAAAUACAUAAAUAAAUAAGCUCGGCUAUGUUCUAAUAAAACUUUAUUUAUGGGCAUUGGAAUUUAAAUUUCAUAUUUGAAAUAUGGAAUAUGAAAUAUAAAAAGACAGAAUGGUUUGGAAAGUGUAAAUAAUUUAAGAUUUUUACUAUGUUAUUGCCAGCUUGUUUUCCAAAAAGUCAUACAAUUUAUAUUCCAUGAGAGCACUGAGGAGCCUUUUGUUUGUUUGUUUGAGACAGAGUCUCGCUCUGUCGCCCAGGCUGGAGGGCAGUGGUGCAAUCUCAACCUCCUUCUCCCGGGUUCAAGCGAUUCUCCUGCCUCAGCCUCCUGAGUAGCUGGGACUACAGGUGUGCGCCACCACGCCUGGCUAAUUUUUGUAUAUUUAGUAGAGAUGGGGUUUCACCAUAUUGCUCAGGCUGGUCUUGAACUCCUGACCUUGUGAUCUGCCCACCUCAGCCUCUCAAAGUGCUGGGAUUACCGGCGUGAGCCACUGCACCAGGCCGUUUUUUUAAAAAUGUCAUGAAAUUCAGCCAUUCUGUAGGUAGAUUUACAGUUUUAUUACAUAGGAUCUUAAUACAUAUUUUUAAAAGUCCUUCAAACCAUUUUUUAAAGUCAGGCAGAAUAAAAUAUCCUAGCUAUAAUUUUCCCAAACAACUGAAAAACUGACUAUUAUUUAUCAAAUAAAAAGAAAAUCAUACUUUUCUACCAUCAAAAUCAAUGAGCAGGCCAGGGCGUGGUGGCUAACACCUGUAAUCCCAGCACUUUGGGAGGCCAAGGUGGGCGGAUCAUCUGAGGUCGGGAGUUCGAGACCAGCCUGACCAACAUGGAGAAACUCCAUCUCUACUAAAAAUACAAAAUUGGCCAGGCAUGGUGGCACGUGGCUGUAAUGCCAGCUACUCAGGAAGCAGAGGCAGGAGAGUAGCUUGACCAUGGGAGGUGGAGGUUGCCGUGAGCCAAGAUUGCGCCAUUGCACUCCAGCCUGGGCAACAAGAGCGAAACUCUGAGAAAAAAAAAAAAAAAAUGAGCAUCAGUUUACUUGAAAGGUUAAGCCUAUGGAUUUGCAUGUACCAUGAGGCACAGGAGAGUCUUCUCUUGAGACCUUAAAGAGCCCAGGCAGGCCGGGCGCAGUGGCUCAUGCCUGUAAUCCCAGCACUUUGGGAGGCUGAGGCGGGCGGAUCACGAGGUCAGAAGUUCAAGACCAUCCUGGCCAACACGGCGAAACCCCGUCUCUACUAAAAAUACAAAAAUUAGCUGGGUGUAGUGGUUUGCGUCUGUAGCUAUGUGGGAGGCUGAGGCAGGAGAAUCCCUUGAACCCGGGAGGCAGAGGUUGCAGUGAGCCGAGAUUGCGCCACUGCACUCCAGCCUGGGGACAGAGUGAGACUCCGUCCCCUCACCGCCCCCACAAAAAGAGCCCAGGCGAGAACUGGUCCUCAAUGAUUUAGUCACUCAAUUUUCUGAUAUUAGGGCACAGGUUUAGAUUCAAGUAAUAUUUAUUAAAUAGCUACUUUAAUUGUGAGUCUCCAAGUGCAGCUCACAAACCAGUAAUAGUCUGAGAUCAGGUUUUCAUACUUCCAUGGAGAAAUGCAUAACAUAAAGCUCAAUGUAUUCAACUUAAAUGUAAAGAUCUACUUCUUUACUGUUAACCUGUCUUUUCUUUUUAUAAAGUAAUAGUGUUCUAUGGAUUUUCUCAUAAUAUUUGACAAAAUAAGCAACAUCGUAUCCCUGUGUCCUACCUAAAUCAAUUUUGUUGUACUUGAAUAUAUAUUGAAUAUCUAAAUCAAUUACAUGUGUACUUUGAAUACAUAUUUGAAUGUGUAUAUUACCUAAAUCAAUUAUAUGUAUGUUGAAUAUAAUUAAAAUUAUGUGUUUAAUGUA
Molecule: long non-coding RNA, 2272 nt
Filed under: Homo sapiens (human)
Lineage: Eukaryota; Metazoa; Chordata; Mammalia; Primates; Hominidae
Description: HSALNT0378180
Source: RNAcentral